This 274-nucleotide ribosomal RNA is filed under the name uncultured bacterium. RNAcentral's name for it is "partial 16S ribosomal RNA". It matches the Rfam family "Bacterial small subunit ribosomal RNA", at positions 523 to 796 of the family's 1533-position model. The record is from RNAcentral.
AUACGGAGGGUCCGAGCGUUAUCCGGAAUCAUUGGGUUUAAAGGGUCCGUAGGCGGGAAUCUAAGUCAGUGGUGAAAUCUUGCAGCUCAACUGUAAAAUUGCCAUUGAUACUGGAUUUCUUGAAUUAGUGUGUAGUGGUUAGAAUGUGUAGUGUAGCGGUGAAAUGAAUAGAUAUUACACAGAAUACCAAUUGCGAAGGCAGAUCACUAACACUACAUUGACGCUAAGGGACGAAAGCGUGGGGAGCGAACAGGAUUAGAAACCCCAGUAGUCC